RNAcentral lists this unclassified non-coding RNA (300 nucleotides) under Glomus sp. RNAcentral's name for it is "partial contains 5.8S ribosomal RNA and internal transcribed spacer 2". The stretch from base 1 to 65 matches the Rfam family "5.8S ribosomal RNA", at positions 84 to 154 of the family's 154-position model. Lineage: Eukaryota; Fungi; Glomeromycota; Glomeromycetes; Glomerales; Glomeraceae. The record is from RNAcentral.
GUGAAUCAUCAAAUUUUUGAACGCAAAUUGCACUCUCUUCGGAGAGGAUGCCUGUUUGAGUGUCAGCCUAAAAAAAAUCGACGUAGUCGCUGUUUCUCGGUUACAUUCUUCGGAAAUUGGGUCAACUUAAACCUUUGGGUUUUUUAAGCGGCUUAAAAUUUUCUGUACGAUUCCACGAACGUUUCUAAUAUUUUACUUCUUACAUACGUUUAAGUUUUCUAUCUUUAUUAGACGUGGCGUUUGCAUCGUAUAUCUUUCAUUAAUAUUUCGUUAACUGACCUCAUACAGGUAAGUACACCC